UAUAUAUAUAUAUAUAUAUAGAGUAGAACUGCUGUGCUCUCAGGAGCAUGGAGGCCUCCGUGCUCCUGAGCCGUUUUUAAUGAUAGAAUUUUCGAAUCGACGAUCGGCUCUGUUAGACUUGAUCUAGCGUAUUUGAAGUUUCUAGAAAAUAAUUUUUGUAAUUUUUCGAUAUCAUUUACUUAGCAAUCGAAAGGAUUCAAAAUCAAUAAUUUUUAACGGCUGAAAAUAAAAAUUCUAUAAAAGAUGGUGAUAUAGCACUAAAAUUUUCGAUCAGAAAUAUUAAUCUUGUUGUAGAUAGUAUAAAAAAUUUUGUAUCAAAAUUUCAUUUGAUUUGAAUACUUCUACACCGUUAAACUUGAAAACAGUAGAUAUCAACCAUUAAAAAUUAUUGAUUUUGAAUCCUUCCGAUCACUAGGUAAUGAUAUUAAAAAAUAGCAAAAAUUAUUUUCUAGAAACUUUAAAUACGCUAGAUCAAGUCUAACGGAGCCGAUCGUCGAUUCGAAAAUUUCAUCAUCGAAAACGGCUCAGGAGCACGGA
RNAcentral lists this long non-coding RNA (537 nucleotides) under Ananas comosus (pineapple). RNAcentral's name for it is "long non-coding RNA (ACOM_LNC031990)". The record is from RNAcentral. Lineage: Eukaryota; Viridiplantae; Streptophyta; Magnoliopsida; Poales; Bromeliaceae.